This 698-nucleotide long non-coding RNA is filed under the name Homo sapiens (human). RNAcentral describes it as "non-protein coding lnc-TCAF1-1:1". Lineage: Eukaryota; Metazoa; Chordata; Mammalia; Primates; Hominidae. The record is from RNAcentral.
UCAGGUGUUGCACGAAGAUAAGAUAUACAAAAUUGCUAAAAUUAAUCUCUUAUCCCCCACAAGGUGAACUUAAUGAAGUGGUUAGUGACGUCAGAUUAUUACUCAAUAUUGAUGUUUUCUCAGGGAUAGGAUAGUUUAUUCAUUUCUUGUAGAAAAUGGAUCAGUUCUCACCAGUGAAGAUAGAAAGAUAGAAGAUAAGGCUUUAAUUCUAGAACAUAGUGACAUAGGUAGUAGUUAUGAGGUCUUGGAGAGAAUCUUGCAAAAGUACAUAAAGGAUUUACACCAAAAUUUGGUUGGCAUUCCAAUGGCUCUACCCUAGUCAUGAUGUAACCAUAAGGGACAGCAUACCACAGUUGAAUUUAUUGAAAGGUUCUAGUCUCAGCCUAAAAACUAUUGAAAUGACUGUCAGAGAUCACAUGACUUAUAACACAGGGGAUACGGGUACUUUAAAGUUCAUUAUUAUGCAGACAGCAAUAUUCAGAUGGUUGCUCAUAAAAUAUUCAGGAUUUAGUAUUGUUUGUUUAAUAGGGUCCGAGACACCAAGGAAUUUAUUAAAAACAUAGAGCUUUCAGAAACUGGGUGUCAAAUAAAAAUUCGUGAAAAUGAUCACUUAACAUGAGGCACCACAUUCAAUACCUUGCACUGAGAGUUUUCAGUCAUCCAUCCCAAAAUCAUCAGACAAUUAAUGCUCAGCUAUA